This is a long non-coding RNA of Sebastes umbrosus (honeycomb rockfish), 457 nucleotides long. RefSeq lists it as uncharacterized. The transcript has 3 exons. Lineage: Eukaryota; Metazoa; Chordata; Actinopteri; Perciformes; Sebastidae. The record is from RefSeq and is a predicted model, not a curated record.
UUCCCAGAAUGCCUUUGGGGGAUGAAAACAGGAAGUGCACUAAUGUUGCCAUGUGAGAGGAAGACAAAAAGGCAGGAUGGAGGAUGAAGGAGUGCUUCGCAGGGAGGUGAUAGAAAGGGCAGGUCACCCACACCGACAGACUGAAAUAUCACAGCUUGCCCGGGGCUCGUCAUCGUCUCCGAUGCUUCCAGGGAGUUUGUGACAAGUCAGCGGUACACGGGAUUUUCCUUCUCUUCUUUUCUCCCCAGAUGAGUGCAGAGUCUUCUGACCACAACUGAGGAUGACCGAGUUUCUUCGCUGACUUCAUCCACGUCUUCUUCUACUGUAUGAAUGCAGACGGUGUACCCAGAAGGGUCAGAGGGGGUCAUGCAGGAGAAAUGCAGGGGUUUCUCAGGGUUUUCAAAAUUCAUUCACACAAUAAACCUCCAGUCUUCUAACCCAGCUUCUAUCACUCUGA